Molecule: ribosomal RNA, 2891 nt
Filed under: Acinetobacter baumannii
Lineage: Bacteria; Pseudomonadati; Pseudomonadota; Gammaproteobacteria; Moraxellales; Moraxellaceae
Description: bacterial LSU rRNA
Rfam family: Bacterial large subunit ribosomal RNA
Source: RNAcentral
UCAAGUAAUUAAGUGCAUGUGGUGGAUGCCUUGGCAGUCAGAGGCGAUGAAAGACGUGAUAGCCUGCGAAAAGCUCCGGGGAGGCGGCAAAUAUCCUUUGAUCCGGAGAUGUCUGAAUGGGGGAACCCACCUACUUUAAGGUAGGUAUUGCAACAUGAAUACAUAGUGUUGCAAGGCGAACGAGGGGAAGUGAAACAUCUCAGUACCCUUAGGAAAAGAAAUCAAUUGAGAUUCCCUCAGUAGCGGCGAGCGAACGGGGAUCAGCCCAUUAAGUUAUGUGUGUUUUAGUGGAACGCUCUGGGAAGUGCGAACGUAGAGGGUGAUAUUCCCGUACACGAAAGGGCACACAUAAUGAUGACGAGUAGGGCGAGGCACGUGAAACCUUGUCUGAAUAUGGGGGGACCAUCCUCCAAGGCUAAAUACUCCUGACUGACCGAUAGUGAACCAGUACCGUGAGGGAAAGGCGAAAAGAACCCCUGUGAGGGGAGUGAAAUAGAUCCUGAAACCGCAUGCAUACAAGCAGUGGGAGCACCUUCGUGGUGUGACUGCGUACCUUUUGUAUAAUGGGUCAGCGACUUAUAUUCAGUAGCGAGGUUAACCGUAUAGGGGAGCCGUAGAGAAAUCGAGUCUUAAUAGGGCGUUUAGUUGCUGGGUAUAGACCCGAAACCAGGCGAUCUAUCCAUGAGCAGGUUGAAGGUUGGGUAACACUAACUGGAGGACCGAACCCACUGUCGUUGAAAAGCCAGGGGAUGACUUGUGGAUAGGGGUGAAAGGCUAAUCAAGCCUGGUGAUAGCUGGUUCUCCCCGAAAGCUAUUUAGGUAGCGCCUCGGACGAAUACCAUAGGGGGUAGAGCACUGUUUCGGCUAGGGGGUCAUCCCGACUUACCAAACCGAUGCAAACUCCGAAUACCUAUGAGUACUAUCCGGGAGACAGACUGCGGGUGCUAACGUCCGUAGUCAAGAGGAAAACAAUCCAGACCGCCAGCUAAGGCCCCAAAAUCAUAGUUAAGUGGGAAACGAUGUGGGAAGGCAUAGACAGCUAGGAGGUUGGCUUAGAAGCAGCCACCCUUUAAAGAAAGCGUAAUAGCUCACUAGUCGAGUCGGCCUGCGCGGAAGAUGUAACGGGGCUAAAACUAUGUGCCGAAGCUGCGGAUGUAUACUUUGUAUACGUGGUAGGGGAGCGUUCUGUAAGCCGAUGAAGGUGUGUUGAGAAGCAUGCUGGAGGUAUCAGAAGUGCGAAUGCUGACGUGAGUAACGACAAAACGGGUGAAAAACCCGUUCGCCGAAAGACCAAGGGUUCCAGUCUAACGUUAAUCGGGGCUGGGUGAGUCGACCCCUAAGGCGAGGCCGAAAGGCGUAGUCGAUGGGAAAAUGGUUAAUAUUCCAUUACUUCUGUGUAAUGCGAUGAGAGGACGGAGAAGGCUAAAUCAGCCUGGCGUUGGUUGUCCAGGUGAAAGGAUGUAGGCAUGUAUCUUAGGCAAAUCCGGGGUACUCUAUGCUGAGAUCUGAUAGCAAGCUGUACUUGUACAGCGAAGUGGUUGAUGCCAUGCUUCCAGGAAAAGUCUCUAAGCUUCAGUUACACAGGAAUCGUACCCGAAACCGACACAGGUGGUCAGGUCGAGUAGACCAAGGCGCUUGAGAGAACUCUGCUGAAGGAACUAGGCAAAAUGGUACCGUAACUUCGGGAGAAGGUACGCUGUUGUUGGUGAUGGAACUCGCUUCCUGAGCUGACGACAGCCGCAGAAACCAGGCCGCUGCAACUGUUUAUUAAAAACAUAGCACUCUGCAAACACGAAAGUGGACGUAUAGGGUGUGAUGCCUGCCCGGUGCUGGAAGGUUAAUUGAUGGGGUUAGCGUAAGCGAAGCUCUUGAUCGAAGCCCCAGUAAACGGCGGCCGUAACUAUAACGGUCCUAAGGUAGCGAAAUUCCUUGUCGGGUAAGUUCCGACCUGCACGAAUGGCAUAAUGAUGGCGGCGCUGUCUCCAGCAGAGGCUCAGUGAAAUCGAAAUCGCUGUGAAGAUGCAGUGUACCCGCGGCUAGACGGAAAGACCCCGUGAACCUUUACUGCAGCUUGACACUGAACUUUGACCUUACUUGUGUAGGAUAGGUGGGAGGCUUUGAAGCUGGAACGCUAGUUCCAGUGGAGCCGUCCUUGAAAUACCACCCUGGUAAUGUUGAGGUUCUAACUCUGUCCCGUGAUCCGGGACGAGGACCGUGUCUGGUGGGUAGUUUGACUGGGGCGGUCUCCUCCUAAAGAGUAACGGAGGAGUACGAAGGUGCGCUCAGCGUGGUCGGAAAUCACGCGUAGAGUAUAAAGGCAAAAGCGCGCUUAACUGCGAGACCCACAAGUCGAGCAGGUACGAAAGUAGGUCUUAGUGAUCCGGUGGUUCUGUAUGGAAGGGCCAUCGCUCAACGGAUAAAAGGUACUCUGGGGAUAACAGGCUGAUACCGCCCAAGAGUUCAUAUCGACGGCGGUGUUUGGCACCUCGAUGUCGGCUCAUCUCAUCCUGGGGCUGAAGCAGGUCCCAAGGGUAUGGCUGUUCGCCAUUUAAAGAGGUACGCGAGCUGGGUUUAGAACGUCGUGAGACAGUUCGGUCCCUAUCUACCGUGGGCGCUGGAAAUUUGAGAGGAUCUGCUCCUAGUACGAGAGGACCAGAGUGGACGAACCUCUGGUGUACCGGUUGUGACGCCAGUCGCAUCGCCGGGUAGCUAUGUUCGGAAGGGAUAACCGCUGAAAGCAUCUAAGCGGGAAGCCUACCUCAAGAUAAGAUUUCCCUAGGACUUUAUGUCCUCUAAAGAGCCGUUCGAGACUAGGACGUUGAUAGGUUGGAUGUGGAAGCAUAGUGAUAUGUGAAGCUGACCAAUACUAAUUGCUCGUGAGGCUUGACUAU